RNAcentral lists this ribosomal RNA (498 nucleotides) under uncultured bacterium. RNAcentral's name for it is "partial 16S ribosomal RNA". It matches the Rfam family "Bacterial small subunit ribosomal RNA", at positions 30 to 523 of the family's 1533-position model. The record is from RNAcentral.
AUUGAACGCUGGCGGCAUGCCUUACACAUGCAAGUCGAACGGUAACAGGUCUUCGGAUGCUGACGAGUGGCGAACGGGUGAGUAAUACAUCGGAACGUGCCUAGUAGUGGGGGAUAACUACUCGAAAGAGUGGCUAAUACCGCAUGAGAUCUACGGAUGAAAGCAGGGGAUCGCAAGACCUUGUGCUACUAGAGCGGCCGAUGGCAGAUUAGGUAGUUGGUGGGAUAAAAGCUUACCAAGCCGACGAUCUGUAGCUGGUCUGAGAGGACGAUCAGCCACACGGGGACUGAGACACGGCCCAGACUCCUACGGGAGGCAGCGGUGGGGAAUUGUGGACAAUGGGCGCAAGCCUGAUCCGGCAGUGCCGCGUGCAGGAUGAAGGCCUUCGGGUUGUAAACUGCUUUUGUACGGAACGAAAAGCCCUGGGUUAAUACCCUGGGGUCAUGACGGUACCGUAAGAAUAAGCACCGGCUAACUACGUGCCAGCCGCCGCCGUAA